GGAGGAGAGGUGUAGGGUUGUGGGUGGGGUGUUGGUAGGAGACUAGGAAUUGAGAGUUGGCUAAGUUGAAGAAGAAGGGUUGGAGGUUGAGGGUCUGUGGUCAAAGUGUAACCCCAAUUAUAAUGUCAGAGGUCUUACAUCCUAGAUUUGAAGCAAAAGUUGGAGCAAGGAUGCUCAAUAACUUCUUCAGCAUAGAGAUUGUCUAAAGUGUUUAUGCACAUUCGUUAAAUUGUUAAGAUGCAUACAUGGACUGUUCUUAUAACUUUGUGGUGCUCUGGGUUGUAUAUGAGAUUUCAUUUAAGGAUUAGGAAACAAAAGUUAUAAGCUUAUUUUCUGACAGGAUGAUUUAUAAUUUAAUUAUCUGUUUCAUUCAUGUCAUUGUUUUGAAUUUGAGUUUCUUUUGUGUUCAGUGCAAGCAUUUAUGGCGCAUUCAUUAAGUUAUGGUUAAUUUGUUUGCCCAUUUAAUCAAUUUUUUAAAAAGCACAUCAAGUCAAUUAAAUUUUUGGAAAUUAUCAGUUUUAUGCAUGCCAUUGUUUCUCCUUAUAUACCUCUUAUCCAAACGCACCAUAAAUAUGAUAAUUCACUGUAGAAAUUAGUACGCAACGUAUUAAUUUCAAGUGAAGUUUAUAGAUCUUUGGCAUUUAGAAUGAACACUUGAGUUGGAGAGACAAAAACAUAUUACGUAAUUUUGUUGUUGGUGCCAAGCAUGUAUUUAAAUUGCGACAGAAAUGGCACCAUAAAUAUGACAUAUCACUACAAAAAUUAGUAUGUAACAUUUUAAUUUCACAUUUUAAUUUCAAGUGAAGUUGAUCGAUCUUUGGUAUUUAGAAUGAGCGCUUGAGUCAAAGAGAGGAAAACAUAAUUUAUGUAAUUUUUUUGGAGGUGCCAAGCAUGGAUUUAAAUCACAACAAAAAUAGGAUUGUAACUGUUAUAAUAUAACAGUAACAUUCUAUUGCUACGCAAUUUUUUUUCCUAAAAACCUUAAAGUGCAUGAAAUAAAUAAUUAUUUAAAGAUAUAACUAAAACUAGGGUUAUGCACUGUUCUUGGGAGUCCCAAAUGGAAUAAAAAAAACCAUACCAAAUUGACAAGAAUCAUAUUGAAUUGAACUUGUUUUGAUUCUUUGGUUCAGUUUUGAUUCUUUACUAAAAACUGAACUGAAACCAUACUGAGCCAAGAAUCGAAUUUAUGCAUAUGUUUUUUUUAUGACUUUUUUAGACGUGUUAUACACUUCCAAUAUAAUUAUAUAUAUCUAUAUAUGUACAUAUAAUUAUAAACUAAAUAC
Molecule: unclassified non-coding RNA, 1283 nt
Filed under: Hevea brasiliensis (rubber tree)
Lineage: Eukaryota; Viridiplantae; Streptophyta; Magnoliopsida; Malpighiales; Euphorbiaceae
Source: RNAcentral